AGUGAACGCUGGCGGCAGGCCUAACACAUGCAAGUCGAGCGGCAGCGCGUCCGACCACCCUCGGGUGGUCGGAUGGCGGCGAGCGGCGGACGGGUGAGGAAUGCAUCGGAAUCUGCCUCGUUGUGGGGGAUAACGUAGGGAAACUUACGCUAAUACCGCAUACGACCUACGGGUGAAAGUGGGGGACCUUCGGGCCUCACGCGAUGAGAUGAGCCGAUGCCGGAUUAGCUAGUUGGCGGGGUAAAGGCCCACCAAGGCGACGAUCCGUAGCUGGUCUGAGAGGAUGAUCAGCCACACUGGAACUGAGACACGGUCCAGACUCCUACGGGAGGCAGCAGUGGGGAAUAUUGGACGAUGGGGGCAACCCUGAUCCAGCCAUGCCGCGUGUGUGAAGAAGGCCUUAGGGUUGUAAAGCUCUUUCAGUGGGGAAGAUAAAUGACUGUACCCACAGAAGAAGCCCCGGCUAACUCCGUGCCAGCAGCCGCGGUAAAGUAGACGU
This 499-nucleotide ribosomal RNA is filed under the name uncultured bacterium. RNAcentral's name for it is "bacterial SSU rRNA". It matches the Rfam family "Bacterial small subunit ribosomal RNA", at positions 29 to 532 of the family's 1533-position model. The record is from RNAcentral.